GGCCCCUACGGGAGGCAGCAGUAGGGAAUCUUCCACAAUGGACGAAAGUCUGAUGGAGCAACGCCGCGUGAGUGAAGAAGGGUUUCGGCUCGUAAAGCUCUGUUGGUAGUGAAGAAAGAUAGAGGUAGUAACUGGCCUUUAUUUGACGGUAAUUAAUUAGAAAGUCACGGCUAACUACGUGCCAGCAGCCGCGGUAAUGCGUAGGUGGCAAGCGUUGUCCGGAUUUAUUGGGCGUAAAGCGAGUGCAGGCGGGUCAAUAAGGCU
Molecule: ribosomal RNA, 264 nt
Filed under: uncultured bacterium
Lineage: Bacteria
Description: partial 16S ribosomal RNA
Rfam family: Bacterial small subunit ribosomal RNA
Source: RNAcentral